AGUUCGCUUGCCACGCACGUCCAGUACUUGCCCACGCACGGUGUGAUGUGGCCAAGCCCACCCUCUGUGUUAUAUGUUCACCGCUCCCAGUGUUCAGCGAUGCUUAUCAUGAGCACGUUACAUACAGUCGUGGUGUCAAGUUCCACGGCUUUAUUGUUAAGUCACGCACGUUUGCUCCGUCACCGUGUGUACAUCAGUUGUUUGUGGCACGAUCACAUUUUGUCAUCAGUUGUUUCCACAUAUGAAGAAAAUGUGUAAAUUUUAGCACAUAGUUAUUAGCAGUACACAAUGCAGAUGAAUCUUGUUCAAACAUUCAAAUUUGUAAAUGCAUAAUUUUGUCACCAAUUUAAAUUUUAAAAGAAAUUUUUUACAUAUGUGUAUAAAUUGAGUUUCACAAAGUUUCACUAAAAUUAUUCAAAAUUAAGAACGAUUACAUUUGAAUUUAAAUAAGAGAAAAAUUUCAUCGCGUUUUUAAUAGUUAUUUGACACGUUCAAUUUCAACAUUUAGAAGUUGCAGUUUUUCAUUUUGUUUUCAUUUUAAAGUUUGGUCAAAAUCAUUCAAAUUAGUUUUUCUUUUUAUAACAAUUGCCUAUUUUAUGAAUUGCGGGUUGAUUAAGCAGUUUUCAUCCCAUUUCCAAAAUUCCUCAUUGUUGCCAAUUAUAAGAAUAUUAAAAUUUUAAAAUUUCACAAUUUGAAUUUAAAUGUUCAAAGUCCAAUAAUUUUCAUUUUUUUUGGUAAGCCUUUCGGGGGGGGGGUGGCAAACCCCUCCCCGCCCCCAAUUCAAGCGAUAAAUUAAAACUCCCCAAGGGGUUAAAACAUUAAAAACCCCACCACUUUAAAGGAAAAAUUCCGUAAAUUUUAGGUGGAUUUUUUUCGCAUUACUCACACGCGGGCAACUUCCUAAUUAUUUUUUGCCUCUGGCUAUAGGAAAUUGUUAGUGGCAGACGGGUGAGUAAUGCGUAGGAAUCUACCUAGUAGUACGGAAUAGCCAUUAGAAAUGGUGGGUAAUACUGUAUAAUCCCCGAGGGGGAAAGAUUUAUCGCUAUUAGAUGAGCCUACGUUAGAUUAGCUAGUUGGUGAGGUAAUGGCUUACCAAGGCUAUGAUCUAUAGCUGGUCUGAGAGGACGAUCAGCCACACUGGAACUGAGAUACGGUCCAGACUCCUACGGGAGGCAGCAGUGGGGAAUAUUGGACAAUGGGCGAAAGCCUGAUCCAGCUAUGCCGCGUGAGUGAAGAAGGCUUCGGGUGUAACUUACGC
Molecule: ribosomal RNA, 1258 nt
Filed under: Ehrlichia canis
Lineage: Bacteria; Pseudomonadati; Pseudomonadota; Alphaproteobacteria; Rickettsiales; Anaplasmataceae
Description: bacterial SSU rRNA
Rfam family: Bacterial small subunit ribosomal RNA (bases 836-1258)
Source: RNAcentral